Molecule: ribosomal RNA, 495 nt
Filed under: uncultured bacterium
Lineage: Bacteria
Description: partial 16S ribosomal RNA
Rfam family: Bacterial small subunit ribosomal RNA
Source: RNAcentral
GAUGAACGCUGGCGGCGUGCCUAAUACAUGCAAGUAGAACGCUGAAGGAGGAGCUUGCUCUUCUGGAUGAGUUGCGAACGGGUGAGUAACGCGUAGGUAACCUGCCUGGUAGCGGGGGAUAACUAUUGGAAACGAUAGCUAAUACCGCAUGACAACAGUUAUUGCAUGAUAACUGUUUAAAAGGGGCAACUGCUCCACUACCAGAUGGACCUGCGUUGUAUUAGCUAGUUGGUGAGGUAACGGCUCACCAAGGCGAGGAUACAUAGCCGACAUGAGAGGGUGAUCGGCCACCCUGGGACGGUGACAGGGCCCAGACGCCUACGGGAGGGAGCAGGAGGGAAACGGCGGCAAUGGACGGAAGUCUGACCGAGCAACGCCGCGGGAGUGAAGAAGGUUUUCGGAUCGUAAAGGUCUGUUGUAAGGGAAGAACGAGUGUGAGAGUGGAAAGUUCACACUGUGACGGUAGCUUACCAGAAAGCGACGGCUAACUACGUG